GGUGCUGCAUGGCUGUCGUCAGCUCGUGUUGUGAAAUGUUGGGUUAAGUCCCGCAACGAGCGCAACCCUUAUCCUUUGUUGCCAGCGGUCCGGCCGGGAACUCAAAGGAGACUGCCAGUGAUAAACUGGAGGAAGGUGGGGAUGACGUCAAGUCAUCAUGGCCCUUACGACCAGGGCUACACACGUGCUACAAUGGCGCAUACAAAGAGAAGCGACCUCGCGAGAGCAAGCGGACCUCAUAAAGUGCGUCGUAGUCCGGAUUGGAGUCUGCAACUCGACUCCAUGAAGUCGGAAUCGCUAGUAAUCGUGGAUCAGAAUGCCACGGUGAAUACGUUCCCGGGCCUU
This 345-nucleotide ribosomal RNA is filed under the name uncultured Enterobacteriaceae bacterium. RNAcentral's name for it is "bacterial SSU rRNA". It matches the Rfam family "Bacterial small subunit ribosomal RNA", at positions 1037 to 1382 of the family's 1533-position model. Lineage: Bacteria; Pseudomonadati; Pseudomonadota; Gammaproteobacteria; Enterobacterales; Enterobacteriaceae. The record is from RNAcentral.